UUCAUGAAAUUGAAAUAAUAGUAAAGAUGCUAUUUAAUAUUGUAAGACGAAAAGACCCUAUAGAGCUUAACUACAGACUUUUUUUUUUAACCAAAGAAUAAAUUCUAAAUAAAAGAAAGUUAGGUAGUUUAGUUGGGGCGACUAUCUUCUAAAAAUAACGAAGACAAGCAAAUAUUAAUAAUUAAUUUAUUGUAUAAUUAAUAUAUUUAACAAUUACAAAAGUAGGCUAUAAUGACCCGUUAAAAUUUAAAAAUAAAUAUAACGAUUAAUAAAUAAAAGCUACCUUAGGGAUAACAGGAUAAUUUUGUUUUAGAGAUCUUAUCGAAAACAAAGUUUGUCA
Molecule: ribosomal RNA, 340 nt
Filed under: Bouillonactinia hooperi
Lineage: Eukaryota; Metazoa; Cnidaria; Hydrozoa; Anthoathecata; Hydractiniidae
Description: partial 16S ribosomal RNA
Rfam family: Bacterial large subunit ribosomal RNA
Source: RNAcentral